RNAcentral lists this ribosomal RNA (359 nucleotides) under uncultured bacterium. Its description in RNAcentral is "bacterial SSU rRNA". It matches the Rfam family "Bacterial small subunit ribosomal RNA", at positions 29 to 371 of the family's 1533-position model. The record is from RNAcentral.
AACGAACGCUGGCGGCGUGCCUAACACAUGCAAGUCGUGCGAGAAAGUUCCUUCGGGAGCGAGUAAAGCGGCGCACGGGUGAGUAACACGUAGGUAACCUCGCCCCCCAGUCUGGAACAACUAGAGGAAACUCUAGCUAAUGCCGGAUGAGACCACGAUCCCUUCGGGGGUUGCGGCCAAAGAUGGCCUCUACUUGUAAGCUAUCGCUGAGGGAUGGGCCUGCGGGCCAUUAGCUUGUUGGUGAGGUAACGGCUCACCAAGGCUGUGAUGGCUAGCUGGUCUGAGAGGAUGACCAGCCACACUGGGACUGAGACACGGCCCAGACCUCCUACGGGAGCAGCAGUGGGAAUAUUGCGCGA